This 497-nucleotide ribosomal RNA is filed under the name uncultured bacterium. Its description in RNAcentral is "partial 16S ribosomal RNA". It matches the Rfam family "Bacterial small subunit ribosomal RNA", at positions 28 to 507 of the family's 1533-position model. The record is from RNAcentral.
GACGAACGCUGGCGGCGUGCCUAAUACAUGCAAGUUGAGCGAUGAAGAUUGGUGCUUGCACCAAUUUGAAGAGCAGCGAACGGGUGAGUAACGCGUGGGGAAUCUGCCUUUGGGCGGGGGACAACAUUUGGAAACGAAUGCUAAUACCGCAUAACAACUUUAAACAUAAGUUUUAAGUUUGAAAGAUGCAAUUGCAUCACUCAAAGAUGAUCCCGCGUUGUAUUAGCUAGUUGGUGAGGUAAAGGCUCACCAAGGCGAUGAUACAUAGCCGACCUGAGAGGGUGAUCGGCCACAUUGGGACUGAGACACGGCCCAAACUCCUACGGGAGGCAGCAGUAGGGAAUCUUCGGCAAUGGACGAAAGUCUGACCGAGCAACGCCGCGUGAGUGAAGAAGGUUUUCGGAUCGUAAAACUCUGUUGGUAGAGAAGAACGUUGGUGAGAGUGGAAAGCUCAUCAAGUGACGGUAACUACCCAGAAAGGGACGGCUAACUACGUG